Molecule: long non-coding RNA, 1614 nt
Organism: Pipra filicauda (Wire-tailed manakin)
Lineage: Eukaryota; Metazoa; Chordata; Aves; Passeriformes; Pipridae
Exons: 9
Source: RefSeq, a predicted model, not a curated record
AAAGGUGCUUAAGGGAUUUUAAAGUUUUAAGGAUUUCAGUGUGUUUUUCCAUGAACACGUGAACGCUUAGGAAUGAAAAUCAGUAGGAGAAGAUGAGAAAUAGUUGCUAGAGACAGAGGUGACACAAGAAGUCCCCACACGCGCUGGGAUUUAUGGAAGAGCUGACCAGCUUUCUGGGGAGGAUCUAAGACAAACCUGUGAGCUGCACCUUGCAGAAAGGAGGCAAAAAGCCAAGUGGCAGGAGAUCUGCUGAGAAAGCUGAGGAUGACAGUCUCGCAGGGGAGGAUGGAAGGCAGCAGCCAUACAAAUUAGAGUGUCACUGGGAUCCUGGUAAACAAACUGCUGGCAGAGGGAGGAAGGCAGCAGUAAGCAGGAAUUCCAUGGGAAGGAAUUCUCUGGGAAGGACCAGCUCGUUCCUUCAGGGCCAAGUCCUGCCCUGCACCAGCUCCUCCAAUGGUCCCAAAUGCUGAGAGAUCCCAUGGAACACUGGGCAGAGGAAUUCCUGUGGAAAUCUAUUCCUUGUGUAAUGGAGCCUGUGGAACCAAGUUCCUCUGAGUGUGCUGCUGAAGAACAUCAGGAACCUUGAGCAGAAGUGUCAGCUGUGCAGGAGACAGCAAAGGUUCUUCUCAGUUAAAAACACAACUCAUAAAACAAGACAACUACCAGGUUCCCUUCCUUCAGGAGGGUGGGAGCCUCCAGCCCAGGGAGCCACCGAGCUCCCCUGGACACGGAAAGGAAACCACAGGUAAAAAAGUGUCAGCAUUGCCUAGAGAAGAUGCUGAGAGGAAAAAUGAGCUGGAAGGCACAUCUGCAGCCCCAGAUCACAUUUUCACAUUUGAGUGUGUCAGAGCAGCAAAACCAUCGGUGGUGUGGUCUGUGGUGUCCGAGGCUGCACCUCCCUGGGCACGGGAAUCCUGCACUUUCCAGGGCACAGGAAUCCUUCACUUCCCUGGGCACGGGAAUCCUGCACUUUCCAGGGCACAGGAAUCCUGCACCUCCCUGGGCACAGGAAUCCUUCACUUCCCUGGGCACGGGAAUCCUGUACCUCCCUGGGCACGGGAAUCCCAACGGGCAGCUCGGGACAAGGGCAGGGAAAUACUGAACUCACGGCGAGAUGGUGCAACGAGACGAAUUUUCCAGAAAACUGAAAGCUGAAGAUUUCAGAAUGACUUCAACACACAGAUGUCUCUGCUUUGUUCCUCUACCAACUGAUCAUCCAUUUCCUUCCUCCCUUUCUUUCUUCCCUUUCCCAAAGCUCAAGUGCUCCUGGAUGAAGUCUCUGCACACACCAAGGGUGCUGGCGUGGGCUGCACACGCGGGGCCCGUGGGGCUCUCAGUCCAACAACCACCUCCUUCCCCACCCCCUGCACGCUCCUGCAUCUUCCCUUCUUCUUGUGUUUAGGGCAGGAAAUUAAGAUAAUUCUUUCUAAGGAAAAAAAAAAAAUCAACUUGGAAAAGCACUCUGAACUUCCCCCACCCCCACGUGACGGGAUGGAACCGCGCUGGCUUCCGAGAUGGCUGGAAAACUGCUCCUGACAUGGCACCAUCACCAGAGAGGGGCUUCUGCACAAAGAAUCCCAAAGCCUAUAAAGUCAUUAAAAAUUGUGCAUCGAA